This 207-nucleotide ribosomal RNA is filed under the name uncultured bacterium. RNAcentral's name for it is "partial 16S ribosomal RNA". It matches the Rfam family "Bacterial small subunit ribosomal RNA", at positions 568 to 774 of the family's 1533-position model. The record is from RNAcentral.
AGCGCAGGCGGGAGAACAAGUUGGAAGUGAAAUCCAUGGGCUCAACCCAUGAACUGCUUUCAAAACUGUUUUUCUUGAGUAGUGCAGAGGUAGGCGGAAUUCCAGGUGUAGCGGUGGAAUGCGUAGAUAUCGGGAGGAACACCAGUGGCGAAGGCGGCCUACUGGGCACCAACUGACGCUGAGGCUCGAAAGUGUGGGUAGCAAACA